AUUGAACGCUGGCGGAAUGCUUUACACAUGCAAGUCGAACGGUAGAGGGGGCAACCCCUUGAGAGUGGCGAACGGGUGAGUAAUAUAUCGGAACGUGCCCAGUCGUGGGGGAUAACGUAGCGAAAGUUACGCUAAUACCGCAUACGAUCUAAGGAUGAAAGCGGGGGAUCGCAAGACCUCGCGCGACUGGAGCGGCCGAUAUCAGAUUAGGUAGUUGGUAGGGUAAAGGCCUACCAAGCCAACGAUCUGUAGCUGGUCUGAGAGGACGACCAGCCACACUGGAACUGAGACACGGUCCAGACUCCUACGGGAGGCAGCAGUGGGGAAUUUUGGACAAUGAGCGAAAGCCUGAUCCAGCCAUUCCGCGUGCAGGAUGAAGGCCCUCGGGUUGUAAACUGCUUUUGUACAGAACGAAAAGGUUUCUAUUAAUACUAGGAGAUCAUGACGGUACUGGAAGAAUAAGCACCGGCUAACUACGUG
Molecule: ribosomal RNA, 480 nt
Filed under: uncultured bacterium
Lineage: Bacteria
Description: partial 16S ribosomal RNA
Rfam family: Bacterial small subunit ribosomal RNA
Source: RNAcentral